Molecule: unclassified non-coding RNA, 112 nt
Filed under: soil metagenome
Also listed under: 1 other name
Description: partial internal transcribed spacer 1
Source: RNAcentral
AAGAUUGACCGAAAGGUCUUAUCUCUAUAUCCCUCACCUCUGUGAACUGUGGACCUCCGGGUCUAUUUAACAAACAUCAGUGUAAUGAACGUAUAUAUCAUUAAACAAAACA